RNAcentral lists this ribosomal RNA (484 nucleotides) under uncultured bacterium. RNAcentral's name for it is "partial 16S ribosomal RNA". The stretch from base 13 to 369 matches the Rfam family "Bacterial small subunit ribosomal RNA", at positions 40 to 399 of the family's 1533-position model. The record is from RNAcentral.
AGUGAACGCUGGCGGCAGGCCUAACACAUGCAAGUCGAGCGGCAGCGCGGGGGCAACCCUGGCGGCGAGCGGCGGACGGGUGAGGAAUUCGUCGGAAUCUGCCUUUUUGUGGGGGAUAACGUAGGGAAACUUACGCUAAUACCGCAUACGUCCUACGGGAGAAAGUGGGGGACCGCAAGGCCUCACGCAGAAAGAUGAGCCGACGACCGAUUAGCUAGUUGGUGGGGUAAAGGCCCACCAAGGCGACGAUCGGUAGCUGGUCUGAGAGGAUGAUCAGCCACAGGGGGAAGGAGACACGGUGCAGGGUACUACGGGAGGCAGAAGGGGGGAAGGUUGGACAAUGGGCGCGAGCCGGAGGGAGCAAUGCCGAGUGAAGGAAGAAGGGGUUCGGGUUGUAAGGGGGGUGGGUAGGGAAAGAAAAGGAGGGGGUGAAGAACCGGGGGUAAGGAGGGGACCGGAAGAAGAAGCAACGGCUAACUAGGUG